CUGCACCAGUCGGGGAGCCAGCGGUGCCCUGUAACCUGCAAUCCGCUACAGCAGGGAUGGAUUCCCAAGUGAGGACAGUGCGAUGUGCCGUCUGCCCGCGGUAAGCGGCGUUGACGCUCCGGUCUCGCGCAACGUAUUCCCGUGAACCAUGUCAGGCGGGGAACCGAGCAGCAUUAAGCGGGCCCAUACGUGUGCCGCGAGGCAGCCGGGGCCGAGCUGGCUGUCGCGGUAACGGGCGUGUCGGCUGUUCGAUCGAGGGUGUGCAG
This 266-nucleotide signal recognition particle RNA is filed under the name Candidatus Scatomorpha stercoravium. RNAcentral's name for it is "signal recognition particle sRNA large type". It matches the Rfam family "Bacterial large signal recognition particle RNA". From Rfam's summary of the family: The signal recognition particle (SRP) is a universally conserved ribonucleoprotein involved in the co-translational targeting of proteins to membranes. Archaeal SRP consists of a 7S RNA and homologues of the eukaryotic SRP19 and SRP54 proteins. Lineage: Bacteria; Bacillati; Bacillota; Clostridia; Eubacteriales. The record is from RNAcentral.